UGCAGUGCUGUCUGCAUAAACAGGUUGUG
Molecule: non-coding RNA, 29 nt
Filed under: Rattus norvegicus (Norway rat)
Lineage: Eukaryota; Metazoa; Chordata; Mammalia; Rodentia; Muridae
Source: RNAcentral